AUUUACUUGUCGGACUCUACUUUAUGGUCGAGUGUUAGUUACAAGUGCUUUGUAUUGUUAUUGUGUAAUUAUAGUUUAUCAACAAUAUCUGUUGUAAUAUCUGUCUGUUUUGGUUGUGUUGUUGCUUAUAUUGUGAUUGUUUAACUGUGGAUCAACAGAUUUUAAAUUAUUCUCUUUCUCUGACAUAAUUUUGUAAUCUCACAAAACCAGCACAUUAAGUAGAGUCAAUUUCAAAAUAACAGAACAAAUUCAAUCACUCGGAUAUUGGCAAAUCCUAGAGGAAGCUAGAAUUUAAAAGAAGAAGAA
Molecule: long non-coding RNA, 306 nt
Organism: Melitaea cinxia (Glanville fritillary)
Lineage: Eukaryota; Metazoa; Arthropoda; Insecta; Lepidoptera; Nymphalidae
Exons: 2
Source: RefSeq, a predicted model, not a curated record